Ictidomys tridecemlineatus (thirteen-lined ground squirrel) is the source of this 768-nucleotide non-coding RNA. Lineage: Eukaryota; Metazoa; Chordata; Mammalia; Rodentia; Sciuridae. The record is from RefSeq and is a predicted model, not a curated record.
GGGAAGGGGUAUAAGGACCCUUGUAGGAUUUCCAGGAAAGGAUGGAAAUGAGAUUAGAUGGAAUCAGGGAGAAUGUGGGGAAUGUGUGCAGAUGAUCCUAGACAGGAUUCUAGAUGAUUCUUGAUAGGAGGGAGAGAUGGGCAGGCAGGCUUCCUGCAGCAUCUCUGAGGACUCACUGCACAGGACUGACUGCCCAUUCUUUGCUGGAGCUUGGGGCUAAGCAGUCUUGAUGUGGUCAGGUUUUCUUGGAGUAUAGACUGUGUGCCCAGGGAAGAUGGAGGCCUGGCCUCAGGGCACCUGUCGGCCAGAGUGGGGCCUGUGGACACAUCCUCAGGGCGGUGGAAGCUAUCAAAAGCCUUAAAGAAUUCCUGGACUAAGGUUGAAGUACAGCGGGCUCAUGUGGUACUGGGCCAAGACUGGGCUGGGGCGGGAGGUAUGAAGACAGCUCAUGAAUAUCAGAGACCAAGAAAAAAGCCUUACAGCAUCCAAACCUGCUCUCCGGCUUGUGAGGUCAAAUUCCAAGGGAAUGUGUUGGAAGAUAUCCCACGAGUAACUGAAUCCACAGAUGAUGCUGAACCCUAAGAAGAUACUCCUCACUUAUGAAGAGGCUUGUGAUGGGGUGACAUCCUGAUGAACCCAUUGGCCUCCGACAGCUGCAGUGGGAGAAUACAGGGAGACUGUCUACAGAAUUCCUCUAGUGCAGGAACAUGGGCUACAAUUUAAUGGAGGCUUCUCACUCCAAAUCCUGCACUGUUUCCACUAAAGAGG